CAGGGUGUGUGACUGGCUGACCAGAGGUGCAAGCACUCUGUUCCCCCCGUGGGCCACCUAGUCACCACCCCUC
Pteropus vampyrus (large flying fox) is the source of this 73-nucleotide microRNA precursor. Ensembl annotates it as microRNA 134. Its record names the gene MIR134. The record is from Ensembl. Lineage: Eukaryota; Metazoa; Chordata; Mammalia; Chiroptera; Pteropodidae.